GACGGAGGAUGCAAGCGUCAUCCGGAAUGAUUGGGCGUAAAGCGUCCGCAGGUGGCAGUUCAAGUCUGCUGUCAAAGACCGGGGCUUAACUUCGGAAAGGCAGUGGAAACUGAACAGCUAGAGUAUGGUAGGGGCAGAGGGAAUUCCUGGUGUAGCGGUGAAAUGCGUAGAUAUCAGGAAGAACAUCGGUGGCGAAGGCGCUCUGCUGGACCAUAACUGACACUGAGGGACGAAAGCUAGGGGAGAGAAUGGG
This 253-nucleotide ribosomal RNA is filed under the name uncultured bacterium. RNAcentral's name for it is "partial 16S ribosomal RNA". It matches the Rfam family "Bacterial small subunit ribosomal RNA", at positions 524 to 776 of the family's 1533-position model. The record is from RNAcentral.